UACGGGGGGGGCAAGCGUUGUUCGGAAUUACUGGGCGUAAAGGGCUCGUAGGCGGCCAACUAAGUCAUACGUGAAAUCCCUCGGCUUAACCGGGGAACUGCGUCUGAUACUGGAUGGCUUGAGUUUGGGAGAGGGAUGCGGAAUUCCAGGUGUAGCGGUGAAAUGCGUAGAUAUCGGGAGGAAUACCAGUGGCGAAGGCGGCUUCCUGGCCUGUUCUUGACGCUGAGGCGCGAAAGCUAGGGUAGCAAACGGG
Molecule: ribosomal RNA, 253 nt
Filed under: uncultured bacterium
Lineage: Bacteria
Description: partial 16S ribosomal RNA
Rfam family: Bacterial small subunit ribosomal RNA
Source: RNAcentral